AAGGAGAGACUGAGCAAAUGCAAACAGGAAGUAGUGGCAUAAAUUACACCAGCGAUGGGAUAAAGAGACACACAGCAGGAUGUCCAGAGUUCAGCUCCCAGGACUGAACUGGCAAGUCCUAAACACACACAAGGCCUGGCACCACCAGCUACGGUGUUCAGGGCUGCUGGCAGUCAAGGCUACAAGCAAGUAGCUCUGUGCCUGUGUGUGUGCAAGUGGCACACAGACGGUUGUAAGAGAGAAUCUGAGUUUGCUUCCUAGAGACAAAAUAUACACAGUUAAGAUCCACAGACAAAAGCUUCUUAUGUUUAGUGGGGUUUUUUUUGGUGGGGAGUGGGGUGCUUACAAAGAAAGAGUUCUAGAAUCCCAACAUUUCAUGGGUGCCACAAAGCAGGAUAGUCAAACCUAGAAAUCCAUCAUGCCCUACACUUUAAGGCCUGGACAGACAGUCCCAUUGCGUGGACGAAAAAAGGCCUGGGAUGUCACUGAAUUUAGCAGCCAGAUCAUAGCAAGACAGAAGGGAGAAAAUGCAUAGACAACACUUCAGUGACUCACUCAUGUUUGAUGAAAGCUGGGAGGAGGCCUGGAGAAUCCAAGCUACAAGCACAAAACGUACAAAUACUGGAAUCUCCCAUCAAGAGAAGGAAAUUUAGCCACCUAUCUGGUUUGUCAUUUUGCUGAACUUCCACUGAAGGAGGAAGGGCCAGCUUUAAACUCCACCCACCCUUUCCACAUCCUUCUCAAUUUUUGCUUUGAUGGGAAAGUGGGGAAACUGGCGGCCCCACCAUGGCUAAAAGAGAAUCAAAUCCUUUCUAUACUUCCUCUCAAAGCAGAGGCCUAGUAGCUCCAGUCCACAGCUUAACCAAGCAGAGGGAAUAGGGGCUUGUCCUGGUUACUGUAGGAAAGCCUCAUCAGGCAGUCUCAGGGAAGGAAGAUGACCACCCUCCUCACCCUUUCCAUCUGCUGAGGUUACUUCAUUCCAAUCCAUUAAUGGGCUUCAAAGUGCUGCUGGGGGGAGUCCAUUUAGCAGAGAAGCUAUCACGGGGCCAAAGGUGGCGCCCACCCCCUACCCCAUUUGUCGAUAAUGGGCCACAAAGUCUGAGGCUUGGCUGCACUCUAGACAUAAAAUAUUCAUUCAAGUCGACAUAAUACAUAAGUAGGAACCUCAUGGAAGCUCCUGGGAGAAGAGAAAUGCCAGCCAGGUGGCUAAGUGCUCAAUGGGAAAGAGUUCAUGAAGGCCUGGGUUAGUCCUGAUCAAAUGCCCACUGAGAAUUGGGUUGUUCUGUCCAAAGGGGAAACAAUCUAGUCUGAGAAGUUCUGACUCCCAAAAGCUCGAACCCUGCAAACCUCUUAGGCAAGCAAAGUCUCAAUCUUUUCCUACCUCAUAGGCACCAACUCUGCUUAGGACAUUUAUGCUGAGAAAAAUCUCCAGCCCAAACUUUGGUUGGUCUGAAAGAUUAAGUUAUCCUUGUGCAAACUUUAUUUUAAUCUGCAGCAGGCCGAGUUUCAACAACUGUCUUAUAUCCAUCUGUUUAGCUACUUUCCGAAGUCCAUAAAUUGGAGAAAAGUAAUUUUUUUUUUCUGAGAUAGUGUCUUGCUC
This 1600-nucleotide long non-coding RNA is filed under the name Homo sapiens (human). Its description in RNAcentral is "HSALNT0363151". Lineage: Eukaryota; Metazoa; Chordata; Mammalia; Primates; Hominidae. The record is from RNAcentral.